Molecule: ribosomal RNA, 444 nt
Filed under: uncultured bacterium
Lineage: Bacteria
Description: SSU rRNA
Rfam family: Bacterial small subunit ribosomal RNA
Source: RNAcentral
AGAACGAACGCUGGCGGCAGGCUUAACACAUGCAAGUCGAACGCAUCGCAAGAUGAGUGGCAGACGGGUGAGUAACGCGUGGGAAUCUACCCAAUUCUUCGGAACAACUGAGGGAAACUUCAGCUAAUACCGGAUGUGCCCUUCGGGGGAAAGAUUUAUCGGAAUUGGAUGAGCCCGCGUUGGAUUAGCUAGUUGGUGGGGUAAAGGCCUACCAAGGCGACGAUCCAUAGCUGGUCUGAGAGGAUGAUCAGCCACACUGGGACUGAGACACGGCCCAGACUCCUACGGGAGGCAGCAGUGGGGAAUAUUGGACAAUGGGCGCAAGCCUGAUCCAGCCAUGCCGCGUGUGUGAUGAAGGUCUUAGGAUUGUAAAGCACUUUCACCGGAGAAGAUAAUGACGGUAUCCGGAGAAGAAGCCCCGGCUAACUUCGUGCCAGCAGCCGC